This 253-nucleotide ribosomal RNA is filed under the name uncultured bacterium. Its description in RNAcentral is "partial 16S ribosomal RNA". It matches the Rfam family "Bacterial small subunit ribosomal RNA", at positions 524 to 776 of the family's 1533-position model. The record is from RNAcentral.
UACGUAGGGUGCGAGCGUUAAUCGGAAUUACUGGGCGUAAAGCGUGCGCAGGCGGUUUUGUAAGCCAGAUGUGAAAUCCCCGGGCUCAACCUGGGAAUUGCAUUUGAGACUGCUCUGCUCGGGUGCGGAAGAGGGAAGCGGAAUUUCCGGUGUAGCGGUGAAAUGCGUAGAUAUCAGGAGGAACACCGGUGGUGUAAACGGCUUUCUGGACCAUAACUGACGCUGAGGCACGAAAGCGUGGGUAGCAAACAGG